GGGUAUUCACCUCCACUACCCUAGCUGAGUGGUCUCCUUCUUCCUUAUUUCUCGCUAGCUACUUCCUCUUACUCAAAAACUCCAUUAAGUUUCUUUAAUGGAAUCCAAAGGCUAUACCCAAGAUGGCACUGUGGAUCUUCGCGGCCGUCCUGUCCUUGCCUCCAAAACUGGCAAAUGGAAGGCUUGUGCCUUCCUAGUUGGUAAUCAAUUAAUUGUCUUCUCUUCUCCUCUCUUGUCAAUCUUGCAGUUUGCAUUCAUUUUCUUUGUAUGUUCUUUCUUGCAAGCUAUACUUCCUUUUCUUUUCUUUUAUGGCUACUUAAGGUUCUUAUUAAUAGCUAGUUUUAGAGCUAAACUUGUUUGAGUUAAGCAGCUCAUUGGUUUGGUUUUGCAAGAUUAAUUAUUGGUUGCGUUCAUGAGAGAAUCUCUCCUUAAUCAUAAUUUAUUAAUCACACAAAGAUCACUGAAACGUAAAGCAACCAUUAAUUAUCUUACCGAAUAUAUACUGAUCAGAUGUUUCAAAGAUUGAAUCUAAUCUUCAGUAUCUUCUCUUUUCUUACCCAGUUCUCCCCUUAUCAUUGGCUCUUACUGCUCUCUAUAUAUAAAAUACAACAAGUGUGUGUGCAUGAUGUAACUUUAAGUUGAAGACUAGAGCAAAGUUUGAAGAAAGUUCUUAACUUUUAACAAUAUAUUCUUUCAAGUGAUAUCGAAAUAAUGAUAUUUUAAUCAAGAACAUGAAAAAGUAGUAUGCUUUUGUUUAGUUGCUUAUAUACAAAUAUAAUUGAACAGGGUAUGAAGCAUUUGAGAGGAUGGCUUUCUAUGGAAUAGCUUCAAAUUUAGUGAACUACUUGACGACCCAACUUCAUGAAGACACAGUUUCAUCAGUGAGGAAUGUGAACAACUGGUCAGGAUCAGUGUGGAUCACGCCAAUCCUUGGUGCCUACAUAGCAGAUACUUUCAUGGGUCGAUAUUGGACUUUCACUGUGUCCUCUCUUUUUUAUGUCAUGGGAAUGAUACUACUGACAAUGGCUGUUUCACUCAAGUUCAUGAGGCCAACAUGCAUAAAUGGAGUAUGCAACAAGGCUUCUGGUUCACAAAUUGCAUUCUUCUACUCAGCUCUCUACAUUAUAGCAAUAGGUGCAGGAGGGACAAAGCCUAACAUAUCAACUUUUGGUGCAGACCAGUUUGAUGAUUUUAACCCCCAUGAAAAAGAGCUUAAGGUCUCAUUCUUUAACUGGUGGAUGUUUAGCUCUUUUUUGGGAGCUCUAUUUGCCACUCUUUGUCUUGUUUACAUCCAAGAGAACAUGGGAUGGGGUUUAGGGUAUGGUAUCCCUACAGUUGGCCUUCUAUUAUCCUUAUUUAUAUUCUAUUUAGGGACUCCACUUUACAGGCACAAAGUUAGAAAGACCAAGAGCCCUGCAAGGGAUCUAAUUCAAGUACCCAUUGCUGCCUUUAGAAACAGGAAGCUUGAGCUCCCUAGUGAUCCCUCAGAUCUUUAUGAAUUUGGGCUCCAACAUUAUAUUGAUAGCGGAAAACGGCAAGUCCAUCACACCCCAAUUUUCAGGUGCUUGGACAAAGCUGCCAUAAAAGGUGUCAAUACAAGUGCGUCAAGCGCACCCUGCACAGUGACUCAAGUGGAAGGAACCAAGCUUGUUGUUGGGAUGAUACUGAUAUGGCUAGUGACCUUAAUUCCAAGCACCAUAUGGGCUCAAAUCAACACUCUUUUUGUCAAACAAGGCACCACCUUGGACCGUAGCCUUGGCCCUAAUUUUAAAAUCCCAGCUGCUUCGCUGGGGAGCUUUGUGACACUCUCCAUGCUCCUCUCUGUCCCAAUGUAUGACCGUUGCUUUGUUCCUUUCAUGCGUAAGAAAACUGGGAACCCAAGAGGAAUCACACUACUUCAAAGGCUUGGAAUUGGAUUUGUUAUCCAAGUUAUUGCCAUUGCAAUUGCUUAUGCAGUUGAAGUUAGAAGAAUGCAUGUGAUAAGGCUACAUCACAUUAUGGGGACAAAAGAAAUUGUCCCUAUGAGCAUAUUUUGGCUAUUGCCUCAAUAUGUGCUAUUAGGAGUUGCAGAUGUGUUUAAUGCUAUUGGGUUGCUAGAAUUCUUCUAUGACCAAUCUCCUGAAGACAUGCAAAGCCUGGGAACCACUUUCUUCACUAGUGGGAUUGGAGUUGGAAACUUCUUGAACAGCUUUUUAGUGACAAUGGUUGACAAGAUCACAGGAAGAGGUAGCAAGAGUUGGAUUGGCAACAACUUGAAUGAUUGCCACUUGGAUUACUAUUAUGGUUUCCUUUUGAUUAUAUCCACUCUCAACUUGGGAGCCUUUGUGUGGGCAUCAAGUAGGUUCAUAUACAAGAAGGAAAUCAUAAAAGUGAAUGAGAGUUGUGUCCAACUGGAAGAGAAGACCUUGGACACAUCUCCUCUAGGUUUACAAGUAUAAUUAAGAGAUUAAACCAUAAUUAAUUAAUUAAUCAACAUCAUCCUCCUUGUAAGAUAUGAGUGUUAAUUUUAGGUUCUUGUUACUUUUAACUAGGAUCCUAUAAAUAAAUUUGUAUGUUCUAAUUGCCACAGAUUCCACUCUUUAUAACAUACAUUUUCCUGUUGUUCCCAUUGAUUAAAUGAUCCAAUUAAUGUUAUGUUUGGGCCCUCAAGAGGCCCACAUGUUUAGUAGUAAAGCCCAAUGGGCCCAGAAGGUCAUAGUUCUUGUCAUAGCCCAAAUAUAAUCCAAACUAAUGGGCUAAGGUCUAAUCUAUC
This 2752-nucleotide unclassified non-coding RNA is filed under the name Hevea brasiliensis (rubber tree). The record is from RNAcentral. Lineage: Eukaryota; Viridiplantae; Streptophyta; Magnoliopsida; Malpighiales; Euphorbiaceae.